RNAcentral lists this ribosomal RNA (260 nucleotides) under uncultured bacterium. RNAcentral's name for it is "partial 16S ribosomal RNA". It matches the Rfam family "Bacterial small subunit ribosomal RNA", at positions 524 to 777 of the family's 1533-position model. The record is from RNAcentral.
UACAGAGGGUGCGAACGUUGCUCGGAAUUACUGGGCGUAAAGCGCAUGUAGGCGGAUCCAUAAGUCGGGCGUGAAAUCCCCCAGGCUCAACCUGGGAACUGCGCUCGAAACUGUGGGUCUUGAGUGUUGGAGAGGAUGGCGGAAUUCCUGGUGUAGAGGUGAAAAUUCGUAGAUAUCAGGAGGAACACCGGUGGCGAAGGCGGCCAUCUGGACAACAACUGACGCUGAGAGUGCGAAAAAGCGUGGGGGAGCAAACAGGG